Molecule: non-coding RNA, 72 nt
Organism: Ameiurus melas (black bullhead)
Lineage: Eukaryota; Metazoa; Chordata; Actinopteri; Siluriformes; Ictaluridae
Source: the annotation of a GenBank genome assembly
GGCAGUGGUAGCUCAGUGGUUACAGUGUUGGUUACUGCUCAGAGGGUCGUGAGUUCAAACGUCAAGCUGCCA